GAGGUGAGGGGCCUGAACUGAAUAAUUACCAGCAAUCUAUAAAUGCCUUACCAUUCCUUGCAUCACAACUUUAACGAUUUUAAGCCUAACACAUAAGUUAUUUAUUAUGAUCUUAUGAAAAUGAUAGUAACUUACCCAAUCUGCAAAUUUAUGUGUAGGGCUGAAUAUCGUCUAAGUUUUGAUGUAAGAAAUGAUAAGGCUUUUAUAUAUUCAUGUCACUUAACUCUAUCUUGACAGACGUAGCAAGUACGUCGUUAUGAUAUCACUACGUUCGAUGUUUGUCACAUGAUAUUAAUAUAAUAUUUUUUUCGGCAUCUAUGAUACAUAUCAUGAUAUAUAAUGAUAACUUAUAAUUUUCCAGAUGGUAUAUGUCGUAAUCGGCAUUUCGAAAGGCCUCUGCGUUCCGAGUUCCAAACUCAAAUGCAAGCGGCCUUACGAACAGCUAGGGAGCGGCACAGGCACAGAAGACGAGGGACAACGGCAGGAGGACCAAGGAUCCAGAGGGACUUAUGGGGCGACGAUCGUGAGGAAGAACAAGAGGAAGAGCCCGAAAAUACAUAAAGAAACAAGAAGGAAAUAAACGGGUAUUUACAGAUGCGACAAUCCACGGUCACAGGAGUGAGGGAUUGCCACAGGAGAGAGGGAUUGCUGCAGGAGAGAGGGAUUCCACAUACAUGCUCACACACGCACACACAUACACGCACACACACAUCACACGUAUUUCGCAGGGUCACUUGUGAAGUAGCGUGCUGCUCCUACGCCUCACAUCACACACAUACACCACACAUACUCUACCCGAAGAAGGUGGAGCAAAUCAGCACUUUUCAGUGCCACAUUUUUAAGACGUUGACGUUGAUACUGUAAUAUAUAUGGCUCUAAUAAAAACAUUUAUAUUUUUA
This is a long non-coding RNA of Harpegnathos saltator (Jerdon's jumping ant), 899 nucleotides long. RefSeq lists it as uncharacterized. Lineage: Eukaryota; Metazoa; Arthropoda; Insecta; Hymenoptera; Formicidae. The transcript has 2 exons. The record is from RefSeq and is a predicted model, not a curated record.